CACGUAGGGCGCAAGCGUUGUCCGGAAUUAUUGGGCGUAAAGAGCUCGUAGGCGGUCUGUUACGUCUGCUGUGAAAACCCGGGGCUUAACCCUGGGCUUGCAGUGGAUACGGGCAGACUAGAGGCAGGUAGGGGAGAAUGGAAUUCCCGGUGUAGCGGUGAAAUGCGCAGAUAUCGGGAGGAACACCGGUGGCGAAGGCGGGUCUCUGGGCAACUACUGACGCUGAGGAGCGAAAGCGUGGGGAGCGAACAGG
Molecule: ribosomal RNA, 253 nt
Filed under: uncultured bacterium
Lineage: Bacteria
Description: partial 16S ribosomal RNA
Rfam family: Bacterial small subunit ribosomal RNA
Source: RNAcentral